AACUAUGGCCAUACCACCCUGAACGCGCCUGAUCUCGUCUGAUCUCGGAAGCUAAGCAGGGUCGGGCCUGGUUAGUACUUGGAUGGGAGUCCAUUCCCUUUUAAGGUAAGGAGCUGGGGCCUGGGCUU
This is a ribosomal RNA of Cavia porcellus (domestic guinea pig), 128 nucleotides long. NCBI's taxonomy places the organism in Eukaryota, Metazoa, Chordata, Mammalia, Rodentia, Caviidae. The record is from Ensembl.